Seriola dumerili (greater amberjack) is the source of this 328-nucleotide long non-coding RNA. RefSeq lists it as uncharacterized. The transcript has 3 exons. The record is from RefSeq and is a predicted model, not a curated record. NCBI's taxonomy places the organism in Eukaryota, Metazoa, Chordata, Actinopteri, Carangiformes, Carangidae.
AGAAUGAGUUGGAGACUCAGCGGAGGGCCACAGAGUUUGCUCUUCGUAAGCGUAACCACCACGAGGAGCAGGCCCGAGAUGAGCUGGAGUGGCAGAUAAAAACAACUGAAGAUGAAAUGACAGAGAUGGAGAGCGACAUCCACGGACUGGAUACAGAUCUGCAGGCGAAGACGGCCGCCCUGAAACUGGCUCACACCAGACUGGAGAACAGGACCAACAGACCGGGCAUGGACCUGUGCAGAGAUGAGGUUCAACACGGCCUCGUUACUGAAGUCAAUCAGCUGGAGGCCACGAUCCUGGCUCUGAAACAGAAGCUGUCUGAGGCUCA